CAGCCUUACAUUUCAAUUUUUUUCUUUAAAAGGAGUGAGUUGUGUACAGGGCGUUUAAAUGCUUUAUAGACAAGGAAAAAAAAAACUGCCCUAGAACCAACUUAUUCAUCAUCAUCAUCUUCAUCUUCCUCUUCGUCUUCCUCUUCGUCUUCCUCUUCCUCAUCCUCUUCAUCCUCCUCGUCGUCUUCCUCUUCCUUCUUUUUCUUGCUCUUCUCAGCCUUGACCACCCCCUUUUUCGCUGCAUCAGGUUUUCCUUUAGCUCUGUAGGCAGCAAUAUCCUUCUCAUACUUCUCCUUCAGCUUGGCGGCCAUCUUCCCAUAGGGCUGCUUGUCAUCCGCGGCAGUGUUGGUCCACAUCUCUCCUCGUUUCUUUGCAACAUCACCAAUGGAUAAGCCAGGGUGCUCACCUUUGAUUUUUGGGCGGUACUCAGAACAGAACAAGAAGAGGCCGAAGGAGGCCUCUUGGGGGCACUGGGUCCUUGAACUUCUUUUUGGUCUCCCCUUUGUGGGGGAUGUAGGUUUUCAUUUCUCUUUCAUAACGAGCCUUGUCAGCCUUUGCCACAUCUUCAAAUUUCCCCUUUUCUUUAGCAGACAUGGUCUUCCACUUCUCUGAGCACUUCUUGGAGAACUCUGAGAAGUUGACCGAAGCAUCUGGGUGCUUCCUCCCGGCAGGUUUGCACAAAGAAUGCAUAUGAGGGCAUUUUGCCUCUCGGCUUCU
RNAcentral lists this long non-coding RNA (717 nucleotides) under Rattus norvegicus (Norway rat). RNAcentral describes it as "long non-coding RNA NONRATT025897". The record is from RNAcentral. Lineage: Eukaryota; Metazoa; Chordata; Mammalia; Rodentia; Muridae.